Molecule: ribosomal RNA, 865 nt
Filed under: uncultured candidate division SR1 bacterium
Lineage: Bacteria; Candidatus Absconditibacteriota
Description: bacterial SSU rRNA
Rfam family: Bacterial small subunit ribosomal RNA
Source: RNAcentral
GAUGAACGCUAGCGGAACGCCUAACACAUGCAAGUCGAACGAGAGUUAUUUUGUAGCAAUACAAGAUAAUAAAAGUGGCAAACGAGCGAGUAACACGUACGUAACCUGCCCAGAAGUUGAGGCCAACUACAGAGAUGUAGCUAAUCCUCAAUAGUAUCUAAGUGACGAAAUUAGCUUAGAUUAAAGAUUUAUCGCUUUUGGAGGGGGGUGCGUCCUAUCAGGUUGUUGGUGAGGUAAUGGCUCACCAAGCCUAUGACGGGUAGCCGGUCUGAGAUGAUGUCCGGCCGCGAUGGGACUGAGAUACGGCCCAUACUCCUACGGGAGGCAGCAGUGGGGAAUCUUGCACAAUGGGCGAAAGCCUGAUGCAGCGAUUCCGCGUGGAGGAUGACGCAUUACGGUGUGUAAACUCCUUUUCUGGUGGAAGACGAAUGACGGUACACCAGGAAUAAGGGACGGCUAACUACGUGCCAGCAGCCGCGGUAAUACGUAGGUCCCAAGCGUUAUCCGGAUUUACUGGGCGUAAAGCGUCUGUAGCCUGAUAUGUAAGUCUGUUUUCAAAUACCUGGACUCAAUCGAGGGAAGGGGAUAGAUACUGCAUAUCUAGAGAUAUUUGAGGGUUAGUGGAAUUUCCGGUGGAGCGGUGAAAUGCGUUGAUAUCGGAAAGAACGCCAAGAGCGAAAGCAGCUAACUACAAUACAUCUGACGGUGAGAGACGAAAGUUUGGGUAGCAAACGGGAUUAGAUACCCCGGUAGUCCAAACCUUAAAUUAUGCUUGCUCGGUGUUUAGAUCCUUCGGGAUUUGAGUGCCGUAAUCUAACGAGUUAAGCAAGCCGCCUGGGUAGUAUAUUCGCAAGAAUGAAACUCA